Molecule: ribosomal RNA, 523 nt
Filed under: uncultured bacterium
Lineage: Bacteria
Description: bacterial SSU rRNA
Rfam family: Bacterial small subunit ribosomal RNA
Source: RNAcentral
AGAGUUUGAUCCUGGCUCAGAUUGAACGCUGGCGGAAUGCUUUACACAUGCAAGUCGAACGGCAGCAUAGGUGCUUGCACCUGAUGGCGAGUGGCGAACGGGUGAGUAAUACAUCGGAACGUGCCCAGUCGUGGGGGAUAACGUAGCGAAAGUUACGCUAAUACCGCAUACGAUCUACGGAUGAAAGCGGGGGACCGUAAGGCCUCGCGCGAUUGGAGCGGCCGAUGUUAGAUUAGGUAGUUGGUGGGGUAAAGGCUCACCAAGCCGACGAUCUAUAGCUGGUCUGAGAGGAUGAUCAGCCACACUGGGACUGAGACACGGCCCAGACUCCUACGGGAGGCAGCAGUGGGGAAUUUUGGACAAUGGGCGCAAGCCUGAUCCAGCCAUUCCGCGUGCAGGAUGAAGGCCCUCGGGUUGUAAACUGCUUUUGUACGGAACGAAAAGGCUCUGGUUAAUACCUGGGGCUCAUGACGGUACCGUAAGAAUAAGCACCGGCUAACUACGUGCCAGCAGCCGCGGUAAU